RNAcentral lists this ribosomal RNA (270 nucleotides) under uncultured archaeon. RNAcentral describes it as "partial 16S ribosomal RNA". It matches the Rfam family "Archaeal small subunit ribosomal RNA", at positions 477 to 747 of the family's 1478-position model. The record is from RNAcentral.
CAGCUCUCCGAGUAGUGUGGACGUUUAUUGGGCCUAAGGCAUCCGUAGCUUGCUAGAUAAGUCCUCUGUUAAAUCCACCGAUUCAAUCGUUGGAUUGCGGGGGAUACUGUUUGGCUAGGGGACGGGAGAGGUCGACGGUAUUUCCGGGGUAGGGGUGAAAUCCUAUAAUCCCGGGAGGACCACCAGUGGCGAAGGCUGUCGACUAGAACGCGCCCGACGGUGAGGGAUGAAAGCUGGGGGAGCGAACCGGAUUAGAUACCCGAGUAGUCC